GGGGGCGAAAAGGUUUCGACGGGAUUAUCGAGGCUGAAGAUGCGUGCCGAGGACCAUUCCCUCGUUAAAAAGAUGGACCUAAACGUAACUGCUGAUAACCAAUUGGCACUUGCUGCUUAAGGAGACUUAAGUAGCCGUUCCCUCCGCUGAUGCCUGUGCGGCGGAUGUGGGGCGUCGACUAAUAGGCUAGCCGAUGGCAGCCGUCCGGGAGCCGCCGGCGAAACUCACCGGUCUAGUCGCCAGGCACUCUUGCCGGUUCUCGAUGUCGGGCGGCGAACCCAAACAGGAACCGGAUACGCACGUAGAUUCUUCUCGCCAAGUAAUUUCGGACGCGGGUUCGAUUCCCGCCGCCUCCACCA
Molecule: transfer-messenger RNA, 359 nt
Filed under: Terriglobia
Lineage: Bacteria; Pseudomonadati; Acidobacteriota
Also listed under: 1 other name
Description: VXMN01 sp009841055 Standard tmRNA
Rfam family: transfer-messenger RNA
About the family: Bacterial tmRNA, also known as 10Sa RNA or SsrA, is named for its dual tRNA and mRNA-like properties.
Source: RNAcentral